UACGGGAGGCAGCAGUGGGGAAUAUUGCACAAUGGGCGCAAGCCUGAUGCAGCCAUGCCGCGUGUAUGAAAAAGGCCUUCGGGUUGUAAAGUACUUUCAGUCGUGAGGAAGGUGUUAAGGUUAAUAACCUUAGCAAUUGACGUUAGCGACAGAAGAAGCACCCGGCUAACUCCGUGCCAGCAGCCGCGGUAAUACGGAGGGUGCGAGCGUUAAUCGGAAUUACUGGGCGUAAAGGGCACGCAGGCGGUUAAUUAAGUUGGAUGUGAAAUCCCCGGGCUUAACCUGGGAAUGGCAUUCAAGACUGGUUAGCUAGAGUCUUGUAGAGGGGGUAGAAUUCCAUGUGUAGCGGUGAAAUGCGUAGAGAUGUGGAGGAAUACCGGUGGCGAAGGCGGCCCCUGGACAAAGACUGACGCUCAUGUGCGAAAGCGUGGGGAGCGAAAACAGGGAUUAGAUACC
This 456-nucleotide ribosomal RNA is filed under the name uncultured bacterium. RNAcentral describes it as "bacterial SSU rRNA". It matches the Rfam family "Bacterial small subunit ribosomal RNA", at positions 340 to 786 of the family's 1533-position model. The record is from RNAcentral.